Long non-coding RNA from Triticum dicoccoides, 2678 nucleotides. RefSeq lists it as uncharacterized. Lineage: Eukaryota; Viridiplantae; Streptophyta; Magnoliopsida; Poales; Poaceae. The record is from RefSeq and is a predicted model, not a curated record. The transcript has 8 exons.
CGUCCCCUUCGUCUCCUUCUCUCCUCCACUCCCCAUCGCGCCCCUAUCAUCAGCCGCCACCGCCGUCGCCGGGAGGGGCCGCCACUCGCGUCGCUCUCCGCAGCCGCCACAGCCCCCUCCCCUUCCAAACCCACCGAGAUGACGGCGUCGGCACUGGCGCUCGCGGUGGUCGGGUGGCUUGCUCGCGCUCGCGGAGGCCGAGGUGGUCGCGCUGCUCUGGGUCGUGUGCCGCCUCCGUCGCCGGUAGGAGGGGGCCGCAGAGGCCGCCGCGCAGCCCAGUGACCAGGAGCUCCCCGGUGAGCAGCCGUUCCGCUUCGCCGUCUGCCUCGCCCUCUUUGCCGUCCUCACUCCGUCCUCUCUAUGUUUUCUGGAUUUGCCGUCGUCGCCUUCUCUGCUCCCAAGAUAGCCUCGCUCUCCUCCUUGGUGCCCAGCGGGAGAGGUAGCGGACGAAAGUCGAUGACGCCGACCCCCUCCUCCAUGGCAGCGCCUUCGUCCCCGACGACACCCAGCAGCAGCUCACUCCCGGCCCAAAACGAGGCAGCGUUCCCAAAUGUGAAGCGACAACCCGCAGAAAGAUGAGCAGGAGCAGACCAGGGAUGAAGCCAAGAUCUACGAUGGUGAUUCUUCCAAUAAAAUGAUGCAGGUGGCCAACAGCUUGAUGGUGCCGUCGAUAUGAGUAAAAUGCAUCGAUGGUCAUUGAACUUAUUGUAUACGCUCACUUUGGUCACUGUAUUUAAGAAUACUUUGGUCACUGUAUUUAAGAAUACGGUCAAUACGAUCACUAUAUACGCAUUGCGAUGAUUAUACGGUCACUGUCAUACCGUAUAGCUUCGUAUUUUAUAUAGUUGACCGGUCAAACAGUUCAAUGGCGCUGUAUCAGCUCCACCUGUCAGUGGCUAGAAGAAAUAAAGGGUACUAUUGGAAAAUAAAAGAGUGCACCGCUGCUGUGGAAUCGAACCCGAACGAUGUGCUGGUAGUGCAGCACGCUAGCCAGCCGAGCCAACUUCAGUUCGCGUUUAAUUUAUUUGCAUUCACGUGACAACCAUAACAGGGCGGCCGUUGCUUGUGCUGCGUACUUGUGUGGGUACGUGCAUGUUUGUGUGUUGUGUGGUGUUGUGCGUGACUGUGAUAUGCGUGAACAAGAUGCUUGCCAUGUGUGUGCGCCCGCUUGUGAUGUACGUACGUCUGAGUGAGCACGGACAAGGCGAAGGCGUUGAGAAAGAAGAAGUCAGAGGCAGCGAGGAGCUGCACGAGCGCGCCAAGAGGACGGCCUGUGCGCGAGUCAACGGCGAGCACAGACAUGUGGCGCCGGAUGGUGGCCGGGCCUGGACAGAGGUGAUGGUGGUCGCAGGCAUGAAGAAAAAGACGAUGGGGGAGAAGAGGAGAGUGACCAGUACUGUGUACGCCACGUCCGCGUCGCAUCGCUAGCUUGUCGUGAUGCCUGGUGUGUGAUCGAGUAGUGCAGUGCGUGCGUGCUGAGUGUGUGCACUAUAUGCAUUCUCGCUAACGUAUAUAAAAAAAUCGCUCAGCAAGUUAACCAAAAUUGUUAUGCGCUCCAUUGGCUAGCCCACUGUUGCUACCACAUUAAUGUUCUGUGUUAGAAAUCCUCAUAGACGCACAUUUUAUUUUGCCUCUUGUUUUCUUUCUUUCACCGACUGACAGAUGGGACCCGCAUAAGUAGAGAGAGAAAGUGGGCUAACAGGGCAUCAUUGGGACUGUUUGACCGGUCAACUAAAUAAAAUACAAAGCUAUACGGUGCGACAGUGACCGUAUAAUCAUCGCAAUGUAUAUAUAGUGAUCGUAUUGACUGUAUUCUUAAGUACAGUGACCAAAGUGAGCGUAUACGACAAGUUCAAUGACCACCCAUGCAUUUUACUCCGUCGAUAUUGUCUCCUCCAGCGUCAAGGAACCAGCCAAAAACGUCAUCGUCAAGCAAGCGACGCUGAGCAAAUGUCAGGUGCCAUCACGCACCAUGGUGUGGCGAUCAGAUUGGCAACGUGUUCAAUGCAGCGUACAAUGCCAAUGAUCAGUUCAUUUUUGUGGAUUGUUGUGGGGGAUUGAGGCUUUAAAGCACAUGAAUUGCAGCAGGAAUUGUUCAGGAUACUACUGUUCUUGCUACUUGGCGCGUUACCAUCACCGGGAGGAGCGACGGCCAUCCACAUCGCCAUUGCCAUCGUCCUUCAGAUCAAGUAUGUGUAGGAAGUCGCGUCUUUAGGAGGUCUGAAUAUAUUAUUUGCUGUCACUGACAGACAUAGUAUGAUCGUUUGCUCCUUGGGAGAUGGUUUACGUCUUAACUGUCUACAACAAAAACGAUAAAUAGCACCGCAUCCGGGUACUAAUGUUGGUGUGAGCUCAAGGAAAAAGGCAAAACCCAUUUGUAGUUUCAGCUUUACGAGGCGUUGUCAGCAAUGAUUGAUGAGAUAAUUGGUUGAGCUACUUUUGGAAGGGGCGACGGAAAUCAUAAAAACUACGAUGGCUAUGGAGAUUCAACAUACAGAAAGAUGGAAGAGAACACACAGUAAAUAAAACAGAACACAAAGCAGUAGCCUUUGGAGCAGGUUACAGUUUGCACUUGGUAUUAAAGGAUUUGGAGCAGGCUAUAUCUGUGAUGACACAGAUUGGUUAUGCAGGAUCUCUUGGCUAAAUCCUUCUGCUUUAUCAUGAGGACAACAAAUAGU